GGGAUGCCUAGUAACGGCGAGUGAAGCGGCAAAAGCUCAAAUUUGAAAUCUGGCAUCUUUGAUGUCCGAGUUGUAAUUUGAAGAGGUUACUUUGGAGGCUGGCUCUUGUCUAUGUUCCUUGGAACAGGACGUCAUGGAGGGUGAGAAUCCCGUCUGGCGAGAGUUUCAGUUUCCAUGUAAAGUAGCAUUCGACGAGUCGAGUUGUUUGGGAAUGCAGCUCUAAGUGGGUGGUAAAUUCCAUCUAAAGCUAAAUAUUGGCGAGAGACCGAUAGCGAACAAGUACAGUGAUGGAAAGAUGAAAAGAACUUUGAAAAGAGAGUGAAAAAGUACGUGAAAUUGUUGAAAGGGAAGGGCAUUUGAUCAGACAUGGUGUUUCGUGCUUCUUGCUCCUUGUGGGCGGGGAGACUCACACGGUUCACUGGGCCAACAUCAGUUUUGGCAGCAGGAUAAAACUUUGGGAACGUGGCUUUCUUCGGGAAGUGUUAUAGCCCUUGGCAAUACUGCUAGCCGGGAUUGAGGACUGCGCAUUUAUGCAAGGAUGUUGGCUUAAUGGUUAAAUGCCGCCCGUCUUGAA
RNAcentral lists this ribosomal RNA (574 nucleotides) under Saccharomycodes ludwigii. RNAcentral's name for it is "partial large subunit ribosomal RNA". It matches the Rfam family "Eukaryotic large subunit ribosomal RNA", at positions 72 to 658 of the family's 3401-position model. The record is from RNAcentral. Lineage: Eukaryota; Fungi; Ascomycota; Saccharomycetes; Saccharomycodales; Saccharomycodaceae.